CUACUAAUUCAGCACAUUCAGAAAUCUGAGGGGCUGGCGGAUAGCGUAGUAGUUGGGUUUGUGUGUUCCACUUCCUAGCCUUGGUUUGCCGGUUCAGAUCCUGGGCAUGGACCUACACACUGCUCAUCAAGCCACGCUGAGGCUGCAUCCCACAUAGAAGAACUAGAAGGACUUACAACUAGGAUAUACAACUAAGUACUGGGGUUUUGAGAAGGAAAAAAAAAAGAGGAAGAUUGGCAACAUAUGUUAGCUCAGGGCCAAUCUUCAAAAAAAGCAAAGAAAUCUGAUAAGGCAGGUGACAUCUCAGCAAAGCCAGGGAGGAGACUAAAGCACAUCAUCUUACCGUGGGAGGAUAUACAUUUCCCUGCAUCCAGAUCUGAAGGCAGGGUGUAUGCAGACGGUGAGAAUCAGCACGGGAUGGGGGCCGGCAUGGCAUGUGGGCUACGUGGGAUUCCGAAGCACUCCAGCAGCUGACCAAGGACCAGGACAGGGACUGAUGGAGCUGCAGGAGAGAAGAGUACAGGGCACUUUGAGCAGCAAGUGACAGAAAAUCAACCCACACUAGGUUUAAAACAAGAGUGAUUUGUCUGAAGAACACAGAGGCAGCUCCAAAGACCGUCAGCAGGACCCAGAGCCAUUCUGGGGUCUCAGGGACUGGAACUAGGAAUCCAAACAUUGUCAGCAUAUUUUCUCUCUCUCCCUCCCCCCAUCCCUCCUCUGCUCCACUGAGGCUUCAUUCUCUUAAUAGAAGUGGACAUUCUUUGCCCAGCAGGACAAAGUGGCCUUCAGCAAGAGUUAAAGUCACAUCCUGAAAGAUUUGCAACCAGCGAUGUCUUUUCAUCUCUGAAUCUCAGUUGGAAAGAUCCUAGGGAAUGGCUCAGACUGUCUAGGUUUGACUCUUAUGCUCACCUCUUGGACUAUCACUGUGGUUAGGGAGUGGGCUCUCUGAUGACUGAGCCUGUGUCAUGUUUCCUUCUUUGGUCCAGAGUGAGCAGGUCUGUACCUGUGGUGGCUUAGCCCAGACAUGACCACUGGUACAUUUGUUUGUGUUGGCCAGCCCUUAGGACAGGUCCCUGACAGUCACCACCUUGGUCAUUCCUGGUACCCCACUGAGGAAAAGGUAUAGGCAGUUACCAUAAGAACUCCACCCUGGGGGUAUGUGUGUGACCAGGUGUAGUCAGACUGAGUAGGUUCAAAUGUCUGUUCCACCAAUUACUAGACAAACGAUCUUUCUAUGUUUCAGUUUCCUUGUUUAUAAAAUGAAAAUAAAAAUAGUACCAACUUCAUGAAGUUGUUAAUAAGAUUAAAUGACUUAUUAUACGGAAAGCCCUUAGACCAAGCCUGGAAUAUGAAAAAUUAGCUGUCACUAAUACUAACAAAUAUGUCAGUAGAAUAGAACCAUAAAGACAACUCACUAAAUAAGGCCAUGUUUCAUGCUAUUUUCCGUGCCCUUUACAGACCAUGAGGUCUGUGAAGUUACUUUCCAUUUAUCAUCUUCUGCUCUCUGGAAGCUGUCCAGGCUUCCCAAAAGGUGCUCAGUGGGUCUCUGAAGCUACCCUGUGUCUUUCUGGGGCCUCAACCCCAGAGUGAGUGUCUUUCUCCUUUUAUGAUCCAAAAUAGUUUACUUCUCAAAUAAAUAAACUUUUAUUACAGGGUCUUUGUAAGACCUCGGAGAUAAAGCCUCACUUGAAAGCUCACAAUAGGCAAAGCUAUAUAAGCUUUGCUUGGCUGGCUCAACCUGGUCAGGUCCAUAUUUUUGAGCAACCUCCUUCUACCUGCAACAACGGUUCCUCCCACCUUUGGUGGCUUCAUGUCAAUCGGUUUGCCAUCAGACUCUUUUUUACCCAUCACAGGCUUCUAUUCCUAACAGUGCCUUUCUAAGGCUUGGAUUUACUUUCCCUUCGCUUUUUUAAAAUAAAUCUUUCUCUCUGCUUCAUUACACAAACCUCCAUUUGCUCUUAGUCCAACUCAAUUCAGCCAAUACUGUGUGCACUUCUAUUAAAUACCAAUCACUGUGCUUGGCAUGACUCAUUUUAUUUCCUCUUUCUUUUCUCUGCCUUUAAUUCUCUCUUUCUAAGUUUCCUUGAUAGAGGGAACUACAACUUUUGUAUACUUGAAAUAAAAUUCUCUUUGUUGUUGAAAAUAUAUUCAAAAAGAAAUCUUCAUAUAUCAGAACUUCGUAUGAGAGCAAAUUCCAGUUGGGGAUGGUUAUGUGUACUUGACUCUGUCUAUCUCUAUGUCUGUAGUUAGUAUAUUGAUCAUUCCAUAGCAUGAGUUCAUUAUUCACAAUUAAUCCUUUUGUUAAACUUAUAAAGUCCUGAGUUUUGAAGUAAUUUUUCAUAUGCC
Long non-coding RNA from Equus caballus (horse), 2346 nucleotides. NCBI's taxonomy places the organism in Eukaryota, Metazoa, Chordata, Mammalia, Perissodactyla, Equidae. The record is from Ensembl.